Molecule: long non-coding RNA, 1127 nt
Filed under: Nicotiana tabacum (common tobacco)
Lineage: Eukaryota; Viridiplantae; Streptophyta; Magnoliopsida; Solanales; Solanaceae
Description: long non-coding RNA (NTAB_LNC014524)
Source: RNAcentral
GCCAAAGAUGUAGAUUAGAACAAAAAUUUCACAAAAUACAAGUUCACUAAAUUAACUACAGAAUUCAAGAACAAUUAAAUAGUAUACAGUGAAAAUUACACCUGUAAGAAGAAAAGAACAAAGCAAAACAAGAUUCCACAUCCUUCCUCUUCAAUCUAGUAAGGAAAAAGUCCGCAACCUGAUCAUCAACUCAUGAGGAUCAUAACGGAAGUGAGAUCACAUAUUUCACACACAGAUACAAGAGAAUUGCAAUUGGAAAACUAGCUAAAGGGUUCAACAAGCAAGCAGAAGAUGCACUUCCACUUGGUCCACCUGAAGGUGGAAAUGCGAUAACUGAGCCAGAUGCAGGCACCACGGAAGAAUGUGGACCAUCCAUUGGAGCACCACCAGAUUCAGAAGGUGAAGGAGCAGGAGCAAACAUUACGUCUGGGCCUACCGAUGUAGGUGGGACAACAAGUGGAGGAAAUUGUUGCGGUCCUGCAAAACAUUUCGAUUGAAGAAUAGGGAAUAACAUAUGAUGCGUUAAGCAAAAGAAACAACAGAACAUUUGUGGCACAGUCUAGUGAAAUGUUUUGCCCAGAAGAAGUCAUAACAAGCCAUAAAGUAUGUUUUGCAGUUGGCUUUCCAAGUAAUGAAGGUCAAGUAAUGAAGAAGUCAUAACAAGCCAUAAAGUAUGUUUUGCAGUUGGCUUUCCAAGUAAUGAAGGUUCUAGAAAAAGAAAAAAAAAUGCCUCAACACCCAAUAUAACUAAUUCUAUGAAGAAGUUGCAUUUCAUGUGGCAUAUUAGAAUAGAAAUUUGUACCAUAAUGCAUGAGAAUGACUACAGCAAAUUAUCAAUCACAACAUAAAAGGUGUAUGUGCCCUGCACCCAAGGGUGUGGCAUAGUGGUCAAUGAAAUGGGUGAGAACCAUGAGGUCUCAGGUUCAAAUCCCAGCGGAGGCAAAUACUAGGUGAUUUCUUCCCAUCUAUCCAAGCCUUGGUGGAUAGAGUUACCCGGUACCUGUUGCUGGUGGGAGGUGACAGGUAUCCCGUGGAAUUAGUCGAGGUGCGCACAAGCUGGCCCGGACACCACGGUUAUCAAAAAAAAAAAAGGUGCAUGUGCCCCCCAAGAGAAGUAAAAAGAGAUA